Molecule: ribosomal RNA, 477 nt
Filed under: uncultured bacterium
Lineage: Bacteria
Description: partial 16S ribosomal RNA
Rfam family: Bacterial small subunit ribosomal RNA
Source: RNAcentral
GAUGAACGCUGGCGGCGUGCUUAACACAUGCAAGUCGAACGAGAAGUGAAGACGGAAACCUUCGGGCGGAAGGCUUUAUUUCGAGUGGCGGACGGGUGAGUAACGCGUGGGUAACCUGCCUCAUACAGGGGGAUAACAGUUGGAAACGACUGUUAAUACCGCAUAAGACCACAGCACCGCAUGGUGCGGGGGUAAAAACUCCGGUGGUAUGAGAUGGGCCCGCGUUCGAUUAGCCAGUUGGCGGGGUAACGGCCCACCAAAGCGACGAUCGAUAGCCGAUCUGAGAGGAUGACCGGCCACAUUGGGACUGAGACACGGCCCAAACUCCGACGGGAGGCAGCAGUGGGGAAUAUUGCACAAUGGGGGAAACCCUGAUGCAGCGACGCCGCGUGAGUGAAGAAGUAUUUCGGUAUGUAAAGCUCUAUCAGCAGGGAAGAAAAUGACGGUACCUGAGUAAGAAGCCCCGGCUAACUACGU